This 253-nucleotide ribosomal RNA is filed under the name uncultured bacterium. Its description in RNAcentral is "partial 16S ribosomal RNA". It matches the Rfam family "Bacterial small subunit ribosomal RNA", at positions 524 to 776 of the family's 1533-position model. The record is from RNAcentral.
GACGAGGGGUCCUAGCGUUGUUCGGAAUCAUUGGGCGUAAAGCGUAUGUAGGCGGCUUUUCAAGUCAGAUGUGAAAUCCCAUGGCUUAACCAUGGAACUGCAUUUGAAACUGUAAAGCUUGAGUAUUGGAGAGGAUGGUAGAAUUCCUGGUGUAGUGGUGAAAUACGUAGAUAUCAGGAGGAAUACCGGUGGCGAAGGCGGCCAUCUGGCCGAAUACUGACGCUGAGAUACGAAAGUGUGGGGAUCAAACAGG